UCAACUGUGAGUUGUUGUCUUACCCUUCGUCCCUUCCCUUCCUUUUCCUGGUUUUUCUCACUACCUUUCCUUUUCAUGCUCCUCCUUCUCUUCUCUAAUUCGCACACGUAAACUAUGGCGGUGGUUGAAUUCCUUUCUACGAAGUGUUUCUUCUGGGGUUUCAAUCAGGGAUUUGAGUUGAUGCAAAUAAAAGCUACAACAAUGGAGGCUACCAUCUAAGGUGUUUGCAAGAAGGUGCUUUGACCCACCAUAGGAUUCUUUUAUAGGAAGCCACCUGAUCGGCUUCUCGAAAUUUCUGACCGAGUUUUCGUGUUUGAUUGCUGCUUCUCCACGGAUGUGUUGAAUGAAGAUGAGUACACAGAAUACCUUGGUGGUAUUGUAACACAGCUACAGGACUAUUACCCAGAUGCCUCAUUCAUGGUGUUUAACUUUAGAGAAGGGGAUCGAAGGAGUCAUAUUGCUGAUAGAUUGUCUGAUUAUGAUAUGACGGUUAUGAAAUAUCCUCGUCAAUAUGAGAAAUGUCCUUUGCUUCCCCUGGAAAUGGUCCACCACUUCCUGUGCUCCAGUGAGAGCUGGCUGUCGUUGGAGGGACAGCAAAAUGUAUUGCUGAUGCACUGUGAAAGAGGUGGCUGGCCUGUCCUUGCUUUAAUGCUUACAGGUCUUCUUUUAUACAGAAAGAACUAUUCCGGCGAGCAAAAAACACUUGAAAUGGUCUACAAGCAGGCCUCGAGGGAACUACUUCAGCUUUUGUCUCCUUUAGAUAUCUUCAGUGUAUAUCCCGAAGAAGUUUGUUUAGGCUCUGAUUGGCCUCCUUCUGACACUCCUCUCAUUCUAGAUUGUUUAAUACUUAGAGUCCUUCCUUUGUUUGCUGGGGGUAAAGGCUUAGUACAUUAUCAUAUUAUGUGUUUCAGGGUGAGAAAUAUGGCAAGAUUAUAGCAAUGUGUGCCCAUGAUCCUGAAUUCCAUCACUACACAGAGCUCAAUGAACUUCCUCCUCACCGCCUUGCUGAAAUCUGCUGUUUUUUUUUUUUUUUUUUUUUUUUUUUUUUUUUUUUUUUUUUUUGAAGACUGUAUCCUGUGCCUGUCAUUUUAGACCUCUAGAGAUUAUUGGUCCCAUUUUAUAACUUUUAUUUCUCUUCUACUUCCAUAUAAGGUUGCCUUCACAGAAAUCAUGGAUAAGAAGAACGAGAAUAAGAGUGCUGCAGUGAAUUAUUUUCUGCCAGCUGUAGAUGCGAUUGCUGCCAUCAAAUAUUCAAUCUCAAACUAGAUGAAAUUGCCGUUGUUGUGAAGGGUUUCAAGGAGCCCGAAACCCUUACACCGACUAGGUUACACCUUGGUGGAGCCAAGUACAUAUUUAUUAAACAUGAACCUGAGGCUGUUAUUCGCGGAAAGAAGAUGUCUUGGAUUGCAUCAUAAUCAAAACCUAGGUAUACAGGCACCAAAGUGGUCUAAAUCAAACUCUCUCUAACUCAUUCUCACUUUCUCUCUGCUCUCAGACAAAGACGACGGUGACUUCAUUCUUCUGAUGACUGAUGCUCUUUGCAAGAGGUGCAGUGUGAGAAAAGUUAGUCUUGUAGAUAACUAGAUAUCAUACAAGCUGGUCAUGGUGAUCACUAUCAGACGGAUGACUUGCAGGAUCAUAUUAUUAUAUGUGGAUUUGGACAUGUAGGCCAGAUCAUAGCUCAGCUCCUGUAAGAACGUUUGAUACCAUUUGUUGCCCUUGAUGUUAGAGAUUUGACCUUUGGAUUCGGCAAAGAUGGUGUCAUUUGAGAUGGGUGAUAGAAAAAGUUGGGGCUGAAAGAGCUUGUGCUGCAGCAAUAACAUUGGACACUCCUGGACUCCUGGUGCAAAUUAUAGAACUGUUUGGGCUUUGAGCAAGCACAACCCUUGACCAAUGAUCUGCCACUAUUAAGCUUGACCAAUUUUACCUGGUGGACUUGUUUGGAAUAAGAAACUACAAUAAUUCAAUAUAUAGACAUUGGUUGCUUAUCUCUUAUUUACUUGGACUUUAUGGAACUCCUGAGCUCUUUAUAUCAUAUUUUGUUCAUGAGAACAGCUGGGAUUGUUUUUUGUUUAAUAAUAUUUGGCAUUGAUUUCUAUAGAAGUUAAUUCUAUACACAAGGAAUUAGGUUCUCAUUUCUUAAUAGAUAUCUUGAUUUGAACUUGAAUUCCUUCCACCAAAAUAUUCUGGAAUUAUAUCUUUUCCUGCAAUCAAAGCAUCAAAAUCUAUUUUAAGCAAUCUUUAAAAGGUUUAUAUGUCAUAUUUUUAGUAAGCUCAUAAAUUUUUCUCUUACCUUGUCUAGCCAUUGCUGGUUGUUAAUUUAUGUUUUGUAUUUUAAUAGCUAAUCUAUUUGUGCUAUGGCGAAAUUGCCUCAGUAUUCAUUGUCGACUCUUGACUUUGUUUUGAGAGAUAAAUACAGUUGUUUAUGAAAUACAGUUUGUGCAUAACUGUUAUUUCUUUAAACUUCCUCUCCCAAUUUUCUAUCAUCGACUACCAAGCAAAGGAGUUUCUUGCUGCUUUGAAUCUGGUUCUAAUAAAGGGAUAAGAAAAUUUAUAUGGCUUUAAAGGAGAAAAAACUCUUCUAUACAAUGGGGAUUGAUUUAAAGAUACGAAAUAGAAUUAAAUCGGAGUUGGGUGUUCAAAUUUUAAACUGAAGCUAUAGAGUUAAUUGAUAUAGGAGCAUUUAUUUAUUUUUACUAUGUUAGUUAUUGUACGUCGAUUUUCGUUUUUUUAAGUUUCAACUUGUGAAUUUUAUGUAUGAUAAUAAAGCUCAUUUAGUUUGAACUUC
Chenopodium quinoa (quinoa) is the source of this 2788-nucleotide long non-coding RNA. RefSeq lists it as uncharacterized. The transcript has 12 exons. NCBI's taxonomy places the organism in Eukaryota, Viridiplantae, Streptophyta, Magnoliopsida, Caryophyllales, Amaranthaceae. The record is from RefSeq and is a predicted model, not a curated record.